CGCGACCCCAGGUCAGCGGGACUACCCGCUGAGU
RNAcentral lists this ribosomal RNA (34 nucleotides) under Oxalis conorrhiza. RNAcentral describes it as "partial 26S ribosomal RNA". Lineage: Eukaryota; Viridiplantae; Streptophyta; Magnoliopsida; Oxalidales; Oxalidaceae. The record is from RNAcentral.